This 465-nucleotide ribosomal RNA is filed under the name uncultured bacterium. RNAcentral describes it as "bacterial SSU rRNA". It matches the Rfam family "Bacterial small subunit ribosomal RNA", at positions 330 to 792 of the family's 1533-position model. The record is from RNAcentral.
CCCAGACUCCUACGGGAGGCAGCAGUGAGGAAUAUUGGUCAAUGGUCGGGAGACUGAACCAGCCAAGCCGCGUGAGGGAGGAAGGUACAGAGUAUCGUAAACCUCUUUUGUCAGGGAACAAAGACUGGGACGCGUCCCCGGAUGAGUGUACCUGAAGAAAAAGCAUCGGCUAACUCCGUGCCAGCAGCCGCGGUAAUACGGAGGAUGCGAGCGUUAUCCGGAUUUACUGGGUGUAAAGGGAGCGUAGACGGUUACGCAAGUCUGGAGUGAAAGGCGGGGGCCCAACCCCCGGACUGCUUUGGAAACUGUAUAACUGGAGUGCAGGAGAGGUAAGUGGAAUUCCUAGUGUAGCGGUGAAAUGCGUAGAUAUUAGGAGGAACACCAGUGGCGAAGGCGGCUUACUGGACUGUAACUGACGUUGAGGCUCGAAAGCGUGGGGAGCAAACAGGAUUAGAUACCCUAGUA